RNAcentral lists this ribosomal RNA (972 nucleotides) under human gut metagenome. Its description in RNAcentral is "bacterial LSU rRNA". It matches the Rfam family "Bacterial large subunit ribosomal RNA", at positions 1954 to 2925 of the family's 2925-position model. The record is from RNAcentral.
AGGUAGCGAAAUUCCUUGUCGGGUAAGUUCCGACCUGCACGAAUGGCGUAACGAUCUCCCUACUGUCUCGGCCAGAGACUCGGUGAAAUUGAAGUCGCGGUGAAAAUGCCGUGUACCCGCAGAAAGACGGAAAGACCCUGUGCACCUUUACUAUAGCUUGACAUUGGGUUUUGGGCUUGCAUGUGUAGGAUAGGUGGGAGGCUGUGAACCCUGUACGCCAGUAUGGGGGGAGCCAACCUUGAAAUACCACCCUUGCAAGUCUAAGGCUCUAAUCCAUACCCGUUACCCGGGGUGGAGACAGUGUCUGGUGGGUAGUUUGACUGGGGCGGUCGCCUCCCAAACAAUAACGGAGGCACGCAAAGGUUCCCUCAGCCUGAUCGGAAACCAGGCGUCGAGUGCAAACGCAUAAGGGAGCUUGACUGCAAGACAGACAUGUCGAGCAGGGACGAAAGUCGGCGUUAGUGAUCCGGUGGUUCCGCAUGGAAGGGCCAUCGCUCAUUGGAUAAAAGGUACGCCGGGGAUAACAGGCUGAUCGCGCCCAAGAGUUCAUAUCGACGGCGCGGUUUGGCACCUCGAUGUCGGCUCAUCACAUCCUGGGGCUGAAGCAGGUCCCAAGGGUACGGCUGUUCGCCGUUUAAAGUGGUACGCGAGCUGGGUUUAAAACGUCGUGAGACAGUUUGGUCCCUAUCUUCUGUGGGCGUAGGAGACUUGAGAGGGCCUGUCCCUAGUACGAGAGGACCGGGAUGGACGCACCCCUGGUGGUCCUGUUGUCACGCCAGUGGCACAGCAGGGUAGCUAUGUGCGGAAGGGAUAACCGCUGAAAGCAUCUAAGCGGGAAGCCUGCCUCAAGAUAAGGUCUCCCUCUCUUCGGAGCUGAAGGGCCCGGGUAGACAACCCGGUUGAUAGGCUGGAGGUAUACAUGCGGUGACGCAUUCAGCUGACCAGUACUAAUAGCCCGUGCGCCUUGUUUUC